CUGCCUUAAACUAAUGAGUAAGGAAAACAAAGCGAGCGGUGGGAGCCGCUCGCCGCGCUUCUAAGUAAUCAUGCGCAAUAAUUUGUGGAGGGGUAAUAGGCUGGCCGAGCGCUGACGCUGCUUACUUUGCAGAACUCGCUCGUGCGGGCCUCCC
This 154-nucleotide small nuclear RNA is filed under the name Ricinus communis (castor bean). RNAcentral's name for it is "U12 minor spliceosomal RNA". It matches the Rfam family "U12 minor spliceosomal RNA". From Rfam's summary of the family: Although the U12 sequence is very divergent from that of U2, the two are functionally analogous. The record is from Rfam by way of RNAcentral. Lineage: Eukaryota; Viridiplantae; Streptophyta; Magnoliopsida; Malpighiales; Euphorbiaceae.